UUCUGUGAUCUUCCACAGCUUUCUUGAACUGUUUUGGAAGCCUUCCACUUCCAUGCAAUGGAGGAGUUCAACCAACAGCUCAGGAAAGUUGUGGAACAUUACUGAGAG
Molecule: non-coding RNA, 108 nt
Organism: Vitis vinifera (wine grape)
Lineage: Eukaryota; Viridiplantae; Streptophyta; Magnoliopsida; Vitales; Vitaceae
Source: RefSeq, marked provisional